UACGGAGGGUGCGAGCGUUGUUCGGAAUCACUGGGCGUAAAGGGCGUGUAGGCGGUCCGCUAAGUCUGAUGUGAAAGCCCGGGGCUCACCCCCGGAAGGGCAUUGGAAACUGGCGAACUCGAGUCCCGGAGAGGAAGGUGGAAUUCCUGGUGUAGCGGUGAAAUGCGUAGAUAUCAGGAGGAAUACCGGUGGCGAAGGCGGCCUUCUGGACGGUGACUGACGCUGAGACGCGAAAGCGUGGGGAGCAAACAGG
This 253-nucleotide ribosomal RNA is filed under the name uncultured bacterium. RNAcentral describes it as "partial 16S ribosomal RNA". It matches the Rfam family "Bacterial small subunit ribosomal RNA", at positions 524 to 776 of the family's 1533-position model. The record is from RNAcentral.